RNAcentral lists this ribosomal RNA (506 nucleotides) under uncultured bacterium. Its description in RNAcentral is "partial 16S ribosomal RNA". It matches the Rfam family "Bacterial small subunit ribosomal RNA", at positions 29 to 523 of the family's 1533-position model. The record is from RNAcentral.
AGUGAACGCUGGCGGUAGGCCUAACACAUGCAAGUCGAACGGCAGCACAGGAGAGCUUGCUCUCUGGGUGGCGAGUGGCGGACGGGUGAGGAAUACAUCGGAAUCUACUUUUUCGUGGGGGAUAACGUAGGGAAACUUACGCUAAUACCGCAUACGACCUACGGGUGAAAGCAGGGGAUCUUCGGACCUUGCGCGAUUGAAUGAGCAGAUGUCGGAUUAGCUAGUUGGCGGGGUAAAGGCUCACCAAGGCGACGAUCCGUAGCUGGUCGUAGGGGAUGAUCAGCCACACUGGAACUGAGACACGGUCCAAACUCCUACGGGAGGCAGCAGUGGGGAAUAUUGGACAAUGGGCGCAAGCCUGAUCCAGCCAUACCGCGUGGGUGAAGAAGGCCUUCGGGUUGUAAAGCCCUUUUGUUGGGAAAGAAAUCCAGCUGGUUAAUACCCGGUUGGGAUGACGGUACCCAAAGAAUAAGCACCGGCUAACUUCGUGCCAGCCGCCGCCGUAA